Long non-coding RNA from Lepus europaeus (European hare), 631 nucleotides. RefSeq lists it as uncharacterized. The transcript has 3 exons. The record is from RefSeq and is a predicted model, not a curated record. NCBI's taxonomy places the organism in Eukaryota, Metazoa, Chordata, Mammalia, Lagomorpha, Leporidae.
AAGGCUUUUGUGUUUUAAGUGGCUGUUCAGGGAACGCGAGCCCGCCGCGGAGCUAGGUGUGGUCUGUGGUUUUUUAGGGAUGGAACAAGAGGCUGAGGGAUUCUUCAAGCUGGUGUCUCAAAUCAGCACGAAAGCAUUGUCAUUUUUGCACAUGGAACUGCCUCACUGGCCCUAUUUGAUUGGUCCAGGAAUGUCAAACUGGCUCAACGUAAGCCAUUUAACUCCAGUGACAGUUGAUUGAUCCAUAAUGUGACACAGGUUGGAUUUCUUUCUCUUCCUACUCCUGAGGGUUCUUAUUGGGUGACCUGAAUUUGAAGUCUCUUCACGUUUAUAUCAUAGUCAUUUUUGCACCAGAUCCUGGUGCCAUCAACACACAACCAGCCGUUUCAACACCUUCCCUCUCCCAUAAUUAUACAGCAGAAAAAAAAAUGAAAUCCGGUCAUUUGCAACAAAAUGGAGGAAUCUGGAAAACAUCAUGCUGAGUGAAAUAAACCAGUACCAAAGGGAUAAAUAUCAUAUGUUCUCCCUGACUAGUGACAACUAAUCAAGCAACAAAAAGGAAACCUGUUGAAGUGAAUUGGACCCUAUGAGAAACAGUGACAUGAACAGCCCUUGUCCUGACUGUCGAGGA